RNAcentral lists this ribosomal RNA (253 nucleotides) under uncultured bacterium. RNAcentral describes it as "partial 16S ribosomal RNA". It matches the Rfam family "Bacterial small subunit ribosomal RNA", at positions 524 to 776 of the family's 1533-position model. The record is from RNAcentral.
UACGGAGGGUGCGAGCGUUGUCCGGAAUUACUGGGCGUAAAGCGCACGUAGGCGGCUUUGUAAGUUAGAGGUGAAAGCCCGGAGCUCAACUCCGGAACUGCCUUUAAGACUGCAUCGCUUGAAUCCAGGAGAGGUGAGUGGAAUUCCGAGUGUAGAGGUGAAAUUCGUAGAUAUCGGGAGGAACACCGGUGGCGAAGGCGGCGACCUGGGUAGAUACUGACGCUGAGGCGCGAAAGCGUGGGGAGCAAACAGG